RNAcentral lists this ribosomal RNA (390 nucleotides) under Prevotella histicola. Its description in RNAcentral is "bacterial SSU rRNA". It matches the Rfam family "Bacterial small subunit ribosomal RNA", at positions 383 to 774 of the family's 1533-position model. Lineage: Bacteria; Pseudomonadati; Bacteroidota; Bacteroidia; Bacteroidales; Prevotellaceae. The record is from RNAcentral.
CUGACAGCAGUAGCGUGCAGGAUGACGGCCCUAUGGGUUGUAAACUGCUUUUGUAUGGGGAUAAAGUCAGUCACGUGUGAUUGUUUGCAGGUACCAUACGAAUAAGGACCGGCUAAUUCCGUGCCAGCAGCCGCGGUAAUACGGAAGGUCCGGGCGUUAUCCGGAUUUAUUGGGUUUAAAGGGAGCGUAGGCUGGAGAUUAAGUGUGUUGUGAAAUGUAGACGCUCAACGUCUGACUUGCAGCGCAUACUGGUUUCCUUGAGUACGCACAACGUUGGCGGAAUUCGUCGUGUAGCGGUGAAAUGCUUAGAUAUGACGAAGAACUCCGAUUGCGAAGGCAGCUGACGGGAGCGCAACUGACGCUGAAGCUCGAAGGUGCGGGUAUCGAACA